RNAcentral lists this ribosomal RNA (236 nucleotides) under uncultured bacterium. RNAcentral describes it as "partial 16S ribosomal RNA". It matches the Rfam family "Bacterial small subunit ribosomal RNA", at positions 8 to 236 of the family's 1533-position model. The record is from RNAcentral.
AGAGUUUGAUCCUGGAUCAGGAUAAACGCUGGCGGCGCACAUAAGACAUGCAAGUCGAACGAACUUAACCAUUAGUUUACUAUUGGAGCGGUUAGUGGCGGACUGGUGAGUAACACGUAAGCAACCUGACUAUCAGAGGGGAACAACAGUUAGAAAUGACUGCUAAUACCGCAUAUGCCUUAGAAUCACAUGGCUCGAAAGGGAAAGGAGCAAUCCGCUGAUAGAUGGGCUUGCGU